This 1345-nucleotide ribosomal RNA is filed under the name uncultured Banisveld landfill bacterium BVB22. RNAcentral describes it as "16S ribosomal RNA". It matches the Rfam family "Bacterial small subunit ribosomal RNA". The record is from RNAcentral.
UUUGAUCAUGGCUCAGGAUGAACGCUGGCGGCGUGUCUAAGGCAUGCAAGUCGAGCGGCGCGGUUCCCGCAAGGGAGCAAGCGAGCGGCAAACGGGUGAGUAACACAUUGGAACCUACCUCCGAGACGGGGAUAGCCCGCCGAAAGGCGGAUUAAUACCCGAUGGUCUUAUGCGCAAGCAUAAGUAAAUCAUUUUUGGCUCGGAGAGGGGCCUAUGUCUGAUUAGCUAGUUGGUGGGGUAAUGGCCUACCAAGGCGAUGAUCAGUAGCAGGCGUGAGAGCGCGACCUGCCUCACUGGGACUGAGAAACUGCCCAGACACCUACGGGUGGCUGCAGUCAAGAAUCUUCCUCAAUGGGCGAAAGCCUGAAGGAGCGACGCCGCGUGCAGGAUGAAGGUUUUCGGAUCGUAAACUGCUUUUCUCAGGGACGAAUUCGUGACGGUACCUAGAGGAAUAAGAGGGCUCUGCGUAGGAGCCUGCAGCCGCGGUAAUACGUAGGAUCCAAGCGUUAUCCUGAAUUAUUGGGCGUAAAGCGUCCGCAGGUGGUUUAGCGGGUUAAAGGUUAAAUCCCCACGCUCAACGUGGGAACCGCCUUUAAAACUACUAAGCUAGAGAUCGGAACAGGUAAGCGGAAUUAGCGGUGUAACAGUGAAAUGCGUAGAUAUCGCUAGGAACACCAAUGGCGAAGGCAGCUUACUAGAACGUACCUGACACUGAGACACGAAAGCGUGGGGAGCGAACGGGAUUAGAUACCCCGGUAGUCCACGCCGUAAACGAUGAUCACUAGCUGUGUGCGGAUCGACCCCGCACGUAGCGAAGCUAACGCGUUAAGUGAUCCGCCUGGGAGUACGAUCUCAAGAUUAAAACUCAAAGGAAUUGACGGGGACCCUCACAAGCGGUGGAACGAGUGGUUUAAUUCGUCUCUAAGCGAAAAACCUUACCGAGGCUUGACAUCUCCGGAAUCUCCUAGAAAUAGGAGAGUGCCCGAAAGGGAGCCGGAUGACAGGUGCUGCAUGGCUGUCGUCAGCUCGUGUUGUGAAAUGUUCGGUUAAGUCCGUUAACGAGCGUAACCCUUGCCGUAUGUUAUAUUUUUCAUACGGGACUAUCCUGGUCAACAGGGAGGAAGGUGGGGAUGACGUCAAGUCAGCAUGGCUCUUACGCCUCGGGCUACACACGCGUUACAAUGGCCAGUACAAUGGGUUGCCAACUCGCAAGAGGGAGCUAAUCCCAUCAAAACUGGUCCCAGUUCGGAUUGGAGGCUGCAACUCGCCUCCAUGAAGUCGGAAUCGCUAGUAACCGUGAAUCAGCACGUCACGGUGAAUACGUUCCCGGGUCUUGUACACACCG